Long non-coding RNA from Neogale vison (American mink), 533 nucleotides. RefSeq lists it as uncharacterized. The record is from RefSeq and is a predicted model, not a curated record. Lineage: Eukaryota; Metazoa; Chordata; Mammalia; Carnivora; Mustelidae. The transcript is spliced from 2 exons.
CCAGACCGGCUUCCACACUGCGUUAGCACCCCGUCACUCACGGACUUCAUCUCCGGCAAGGCGCAGCGCGGCUCUUCUACCUCACCUGCCCUUCCCAAAAGUACCCACCUCCCAGCGUGAGGGUUUAACGAAACACGUGUUCGGUACAUCUAGACCCGCCGGCACCUGAUGAAGUUCUUCUUCCCAUUCUGAGAUCGCCCCGAUGUUGGGAACUUCGGCGAAUUCUGGACUCUUUGGCAUGGCCUUGAAGUCACUGUGCCACUGAAUACACAACCCAACUGUCACAGGCUGACUUGGCUAGUGAGAUGCAAACACCCUUGUCACGGGAUAGUGAAGCCCCAAAGCAGGGAAAAGCACACUGCUGCCAGCCCCCAGAACCCUAUAAACUGAAGGGGGGAUGGGAUGAGCAACGGAGGUUUGGAAAUCAAAGAAAGGAUGAGAGGCAUAGGAUCCUGGUCUGUCGGUGUUCCACCACUCCCGGUUCUGAAAUCACUGCGUGCUUUAUGUGUAUAAUAAAGAAUUUGCAAAUUCCA